This 2584-nucleotide long non-coding RNA is filed under the name Sus scrofa (pig). RNAcentral's name for it is "lncRNA (ENSSSCG00070013429.1)". Lineage: Eukaryota; Metazoa; Chordata; Mammalia; Artiodactyla; Suidae. The record is from RNAcentral.
AUGGCGAGGGGCGACCCCAGCCGCCAGGCUGUGGGCUCGGGUCGCGCGCCCUUCACCCUCCAGGCCCGCCACACCAGGCCCCCUUGGGGCAGGGGGCCUGGGUCCCCCAGGCAGGUCUCCCCGGGGCACUCUGGGGACACUGGAAGCCUGCCUGCCCCAAACUGCGCCCCAUGGCGGCUGCCUGUCCACCGGACACAACGUAACCCGCACAGACCGCCUGCCGCCGGGCGCCCGGAACCUGCCACCAGUUCGGAGCUCGGGCCCCACGCAAGGGACACGCCACAGCCCCGGCGCCAGCACCGGAAGGCCCGCCGGGCCCCAUGGGACCCUCUCCUUUGCGUGGCACACCCAUGCACACCCAGGCCUCCCUACCUCCAGCACCAGCGUCUCCACGGGAGACGCACCAGGCCCUGGGCCCAGCGGGACCCUCGCACCGAAACUCACGCCCCUUCCGCCGCCGCCUGCCCCCUUUCCUCCACAGCAGACUCCCUCCUUGCCACCAGCUCCCGCCCGGCACCAGCUCGGCUGGGCUCCAGUCCGCAGGCGUGGCUAGCUCUGCUGGGUAUCAACCUCACACUGCCUCCCACUGCGCAACUCCCUGUCCUCCCUCCCCGGGAACACGGCCUCAGCCAGGCCAGGGGCGCCGCACGGCCUCAACGCCCAGCCCCGUGUGUGGACACCUUAGCGGCCCCGGGAGCUGGCCGCGGGCUCACACAUCUAUGGCCCGCCGGCACCCAUGACCGGCCAGGGCACAGGCACCCAGCGCCCAUUCACGUGCCCGGGACCCCUCUGUCCUGCAUUCCACGCGCCGCCCAAAUCUCUGAGGAUAUCCCACAUCAUAGCCCAGGACGCCCUGAGGCACUGCCGCCCCGGGCACCCAACUCUCCCCCUCACGGUGCUGUGCGCACACUGGCCCAGGACCUCUGGCCCUCCCGCACUUCUCUCGACCCCAUCCGCGGCCGACUCGGCACCGCCCAGGGCCACCUGGCGCCCCACCGCCUCCACGUCUCUGGGAACUGCCGCAGGGGCUCCAGGCUUCCCGAUGCCCCCCAGGGACUCUGCGAGGGACAGGCACUGGCAGCCCCGCCGACCCCGGGAAGAUGCAGGCAAAGGCAUCCACCCCGCCCAAACGGCCAUCUCGGCAAGGCCCCCCGGCCUGCCUCCUCUCUCCCCACCAGAACCUGGGUCGGCAGUCCCGCCGAGGCCAAGGCCCCCGCUGCUCACCCGCAACCUACAGACAGCCUCUGCGCCCGACACCGCGGGCAGGACCUCACGGAGGCAGCCGCAGGCCUGAGAGCCCAGCGGAGCUCACGCACACCGCAGGCAGCCCACCCCACACUGGGCCUGCCACUCCCAAGGCUUUCCCGCCGGGCACCGGGGCCCCGGGGCCCCGGGGCUGCCCGCGAGGAGGCCAGCCCCAAGGCUCCUCUCCCCAUGGCCCUCCCGGGCCACCGGAGGCCUGCCUGCCCCCACCUGCGCCCCAGGGCUGCACGCACCCAAGGGAGCCAAGGCAACGGGACCCUCCCCCGACGUCCCCUGUGGGAGCCACGUGCCGGACCUCAGUUUGCGAUGAGGAGACGGUAGUGAGUUCUCACUCAUUUUGUUCAGAUUUUCCAAGGAAUGCGUUUGUGGGUGUCAUCAUCGAUCCGAGCACGGGCACACCCGCGGGACGGCCACCGCCACAGCCCCCACCGCCGGGACGGCCAGCCAGCUCCCUCCCGGACGCGUCCCGGAGCCUCCCGAGCCCAACCGCGGGCAAGCAGGUCAGCUCCACCCCCGGGAGCAGAGGGUGCGGGUCCGGGCGCCACACACCGCCCCCCGGGGGCUACCUUGGCGCAGGCCACUGCCGCUUACCAUCGCCUACCAGGUGGCCAUCGAUCCCGCCACCGGCCGCACGCCAACACGCCUCCCUCCGGCAGGAGGGACUGGCCUUCCCGGGGUCGCUCCCGACAGGCUCCGGCUUCCGCUCCCCGCGCUGGCCUCCGUCUCUCCGCCGCAGCAGCUGGGUGAGGGCGACAACGGACACGCGCAAGCACGCCUCAGCAAGGGGCCCAGCUGCCCAAGGCACAGGGGCCGGGCCCCCCACCGCCCAGGGCCUGUGGGCAGCCUGGCUGCCACCUGUCCCUGGCCUCCCCCCUCUCACUGGGUGCCAGCAGCCAAAGCGCCACACGGAGUGGCCAGCACUGCCCCUUCGCUGGGGCGCCACACCCUUCCCCCAGGAACCGCACCUCCCUCAGGCUCCCUAAGGCCCUGCCCACCCGCACCCCUCCCAGCUUAAGAGUCCACCCCAACCCCGAGUCCGAUUCCACCCCAAGGCCCACCCUGGGGCUCUCCCCCUCACCCGAUGGGAAAACACCCUCGCUCCGGCCACCGACACUGCCUGCCCACGCAGGGAGAGACACACGCGGCCCAGAGUGCUCUGCAGGAGCCUCAGCUCAGGACCGCUGACGUGCCCCUGGGGGCAAGGUCUCCGCCCCGAGAGCGGCUCCGCGGGCCCUGGACCCGGGGCGCCCAUGGGCACACCUGCACUCCACCCCUGCUAUCCCCAGCACGCUCUCAGGACCCCGGGCAAAACACAGACCCU